CGGACGGGUGAGUAACGCGUGGGUAACCUGCCUUGUACUGGGGGACAACAGUUAGAAAUGACUGCUAAUACCGCAUAAGCGCACAGUAUCGCAUGAUACAGUGUGAAAAACUCCGGUGGUACAAGAUGGACCCGCGUCUGAUUAGCUAGUUGGUAAGGUAACGGCUUACCAAGGCGACGAUCAGUAGCCGACCUGAGAGGGUGACCGGCCACAUUGGGACUGAGACACGGUCCAGACUCCUACGGGAGGCAGCAUG
This 256-nucleotide ribosomal RNA is filed under the name uncultured bacterium. RNAcentral describes it as "partial 16S ribosomal RNA". It matches the Rfam family "Bacterial small subunit ribosomal RNA", at positions 99 to 353 of the family's 1533-position model. The record is from RNAcentral.